Alosa alosa (allis shad) is the source of this 315-nucleotide long non-coding RNA. RefSeq lists it as uncharacterized. The transcript is spliced from 4 exons. Lineage: Eukaryota; Metazoa; Chordata; Actinopteri; Clupeiformes; Clupeidae. The record is from RefSeq and is a predicted model, not a curated record.
UUCCAAAGAGGGACGUCACAGCAAAAGGUUGAGGUUGAUUCAACGACACCAAAUCCCAACAACCAGACCCAAACUGAAGCUCAGGGUGGUGCAAGUGAAGAUGUCCAAGCAGGCUCUCCAGCACCUAAUCCCCACAAUCUGACUGCUACGACACAACCUGGUGUUACUGAUUGGGCAAGUGAAGAUGAGAUGGUCACUAUAACCCCAAGUCUCCUAAACCAGACAACACCUGCUGCCCAAACUGGAGAUGCUGAAUCACCAAAUGGACCAAGUGAAGAUGCUGAGGUUGCCACCACAAUGCAGAAUGCCCAAAAU